This is a long non-coding RNA of Folsomia candida, 409 nucleotides long. RefSeq lists it as uncharacterized. Lineage: Eukaryota; Metazoa; Arthropoda; Collembola; Entomobryomorpha; Isotomidae. The transcript has 2 exons. The record is from RefSeq and is a predicted model, not a curated record.
UUGAACCAAGAAGACAAAGUUCUCACCUGGCUGUGCUCAAUUGGGUACGGAUUUUUAGGCACGUCGAUAACUCGCAUUGUUCCGUAUGGUGAUUGUAUCGCUGAAGUGCAUAAUGAUGGUUGGAUUUUGGCCUAUGAUAUUGUGGACAAUGGAAUGUUAAAAGUGAAAAAAAGCUUCAAGCUAACCUCAGGAAUUUUGAAGUAUUUUCAAUUUCCUGGAGCUCCUGAGUCAUUCCAUGCCAUUACGGAAAGAGAGGGUCUAAUUGAGGGGGUGGAGGAGGGGACGCUCACUGAACCAUUUUGCAUACCCGACUUCCUUUUCUCAAACGUCAGAGCUGCAACCUUCAUCGAACCACGUGCAGAUUAUUGCGCAAUAUUAAGUGACACUGGAAGGGUCACCAUCUUGGACU